Ctenocephalides felis (cat flea) is the source of this 276-nucleotide long non-coding RNA. RefSeq lists it as uncharacterized. The transcript has 3 exons. NCBI's taxonomy places the organism in Eukaryota, Metazoa, Arthropoda, Insecta, Siphonaptera, Pulicidae. The record is from RefSeq and is a predicted model, not a curated record.
AGUUAGCAGUGCAGGAUCUUAUUCCGGAAGUGGUUCAUCACCUGGACACCUUGGAUCAGGAAAACCUUCUUACGGAAGUGGUGCAGGCGGAUCGCCUUAUGUUGGAGCUGGAGGUUCAGGUGGACCUGGAACGAUAGGAUUUGGAGGUGGCCCUUCGGGUUAUGGAGGAGCCGGAAGUAGCAGUGGUGCCUUUUCUGGAGCUUAUUCUUCAGCAGGAAGUCUUGCAGGCAGUGGGUCUGGUGUUGGAUUUGGAGGCCUACAUGGUGGUGCAGGAAU